This 162-nucleotide long non-coding RNA is filed under the name Cyanistes caeruleus (blue tit). RNAcentral's name for it is "lncRNA (ENSCCEG00000012556.1)". The record is from RNAcentral. Lineage: Eukaryota; Metazoa; Chordata; Aves; Passeriformes; Paridae.
GUAGACUUGGAGUUCCAGUUCUAACUUGGAAUUCCUGAACCUACUGCCUCUAUGGUGCUGUUCUACACCCAGCCACUAAUCUGUCCCCUGAGCAGUUACAGGCUUCCUUUCUCCUUUACUUUAAGGUUGAUUUGAGGCACUUCUGGAACUUAAAAAUCCCAA